This 497-nucleotide ribosomal RNA is filed under the name uncultured bacterium. RNAcentral describes it as "partial 16S ribosomal RNA". It matches the Rfam family "Bacterial small subunit ribosomal RNA", at positions 28 to 507 of the family's 1533-position model. The record is from RNAcentral.
GAUGAACGCUGGCGGCGUGCCUAAUACAUGCAAGUCGAGCGAACAGAUGAUGAGCUUGCUCCUCUGACGUUAGCGGCGGACGGGUGAGUAACACGUGGAUAACCUACCUAUAAGACUGGGAUAACUUCGGGAAACCGGAUCUAAUACCGGAUAAUAUAUUGAACCGCAUGGUUCAAUAGUGAAUGACGGUUUUGCUGUCACUUCUAGAUGGUUCCACGCCGCAUUAGCUUGUUGGUAAGGUAACGGCUUACCAAGGCAACGAUGCGUAGCCGACCUGAGAGGGUGAUCGGACACACUGGAACUGAAACACGGUCAAGACGCCUACGGGAGGCAGCAGUAGGGAAUGGUCCGCAAGGGGCGAAAGCAUGACGGAGCAAGGGCGAGUGAGAGAUGAAGGACUUCGGAUCGUAAAACUCUGUUAUUAGGGAAGAACAAAUGUGUAAGUAAAUAUGAACGUCUUGACGGUAACUAAUCAGAAAGCCACGGCUAACUACGUG